CCUACGGGUGGCUGCAGUCGAGAAUCUUCCGCAAUGGGCGCAAGCCUGACGGAGCGACGCCGCGUGGAGGAAGAAGGCCUUCGGGUUGUAAACUCCUGUCACGACUUACGAAAACCGGGGGAGUAACUACCUCCGGCUGACGAAGGGUCGGAAGGAAGCCACAGCUAACUUCGUGCCAGCAGCUGCGGUAAGACGAAGGUGGCAAGCGUUGUUCGGAUUCACUGGGCAUAAAGGGCGCGUAGGCGGUUCCGCAAGCGGCUUGUGAAAUCCUCUGGCUCAACCAGAGACGGGCAGGCCGGACUGCGGUUCUCGAGGGCGGUAGGGGAGAGUGGAACUCUCGGUGGAGCGGUGAAAUGCGUAGAUAUCGAGAGGAACACCGGUGGCGAAGGCGACUCUCUGGUCCGCCCCUGACGCUGAGGCGCGAAAGCGUGGGUAGCAAACAGGAUUAGAUACCCUUGUAGUC
This 463-nucleotide ribosomal RNA is filed under the name uncultured Planctomycetota bacterium. RNAcentral's name for it is "bacterial SSU rRNA". It matches the Rfam family "Bacterial small subunit ribosomal RNA", at positions 338 to 795 of the family's 1533-position model. The record is from RNAcentral. Lineage: Bacteria; Pseudomonadati; Planctomycetota.